AAACCGUGGUGAGGGCAAUCUCUCUAAUAACCCUUGAAUCGCUCCCAUGAAGCCUUGAAUUCUUCGGUUGGACCCUGAACGAAUGAAGAGAUCCUGACUUUCAAUUCU
This is a non-coding RNA of Arabis alpina (gray rockcress), 108 nucleotides long. Lineage: Eukaryota; Viridiplantae; Streptophyta; Magnoliopsida; Brassicales; Brassicaceae. The record is from Rfam.